GAGGGGUAGGGGUGUAGGUGUUAGUGAUUAAAAUUUUUGAGGUGGGAGUGAAAAGUUCACUGGCUACUGGAGAGAUAGGAGCUAAUAGGGAUGAGAGAUGAGGGAGAAAGCAUAUUUAUGUUGCACAAUUUUUCAUUAAGUAAAUCAAUCAAUUUAUCCUAUGUCUACAAUUAUGCAUAUGCCAACCCAAGAUGUGGAAAAAAAGAAAUUGGUCUUGCAUUUACAAA
RNAcentral lists this unclassified non-coding RNA (227 nucleotides) under Hevea brasiliensis (rubber tree). The record is from RNAcentral. Lineage: Eukaryota; Viridiplantae; Streptophyta; Magnoliopsida; Malpighiales; Euphorbiaceae.